UACGUAGGGUGCAAGCGUUAAUCGGAAUUACUGGCGUAAAGCGUGCGCAGGCGGUGAUGUAAGACAGGUGUGAAAUCCCCGGGCUUAACCUGGGAACUGCAUUUGUGACUGCAUCGCUGGAGUGCGGCAAGGGAUGGGAAUCGAUCCGUGUGAGCGAAUGACGUAGAUAUGCGGAGGAACACCGAUGGCGAAGGCAAUCCCCUGGCCUGCGCUGACGCUCCAUGCACGAAAGCGUGGGGAGCAACAGG
Molecule: ribosomal RNA, 248 nt
Filed under: uncultured bacterium
Lineage: Bacteria
Description: partial 16S ribosomal RNA
Rfam family: Bacterial small subunit ribosomal RNA
Source: RNAcentral